This 1692-nucleotide long non-coding RNA is filed under the name Vitis vinifera (wine grape). Its description in RNAcentral is "long non-coding RNA (VVIN_LNC007917)". The record is from RNAcentral. Lineage: Eukaryota; Viridiplantae; Streptophyta; Magnoliopsida; Vitales; Vitaceae.
UUUUUCUUUGGCUGCUCAAGAGCUGAACCAUUGCAUUGAUUAUGAUCUCCCCUUUGGUUAUUGUUGUUUUAUGAAGAGAAGAUCGAUUAUAUAUACAUAAAUGCCUCUAUGUGUCUAGGUUUUUGUUUUGUGGUUGUUGACAUCAAAGGUUUUGCUGAACAUUUUGAGGGUAUUGAAUGAUGGGCUAGUUCUCUAGCUUGGCCGGUGUCUUUCAGAUUCGAGAAGGAUUAUUGAACAACUUUAGUUUGAAUCCCACCUUGAAUCAUUUUUGAAAAUGGUUAUUCAUGAAGAUGAUCUGUGAGAACAGUAAUGGUUAAAAAACGAUGGUGCCUUUUGGCUUAUCUUUUUAAUGGUACGAGGCCGAAUCAAGCAUUGGUUCAGCAUGAAUUGUUGUGUUUACAUUGCAUACACGAAUGAGGCUUAAUUGAUGUCAAAUGUCAAACCAAAUGCCUUGUUCACUGUAUCCAUAGAGUAGUUAAGAGUAUUUUCCAUGACCAUGAGGUCUCCCUAAGGAUGCUUAGUGUGAUUUUCAGUCCAACCCUGUUGAGCCAGUGAGAUGUGCAUCGGAUAUUACAUCCCCUGUUGUCAAUGGAGGUAAAGGACUAAUGAUAAAAUUUUGUGCUUAUUGACAGAUGUGCCUUGAAUUGUUAUGAUUGUAUAUGUGGAUUUGUUUGCUGUAUGGCUUGUGUUUGGACUCUUCUUGUUAACCGCGUUGGAUUGUACACAUACCAUACCUGGGUGAUGCUGCAAUCAGCCACCAAAGGGGAUUUGAGGGCUUUUUCCUUUUAACCCCAUGGUGACCUCUUCUCUUUUGUUUGUGAAAGAAUGGCUGCAGCUUAUAUGGCCCACCUGCUUCUUUUCCUUGGAUUUUCAAAAAAUUUAGAAAUUUCUUUCACAUAAUAACUCUAAUGUCCUUUAGUAUAUGAAAACUUUAUUUUCUAUAAGCCUACAACCACCCUGUCCCCUGUUCAUACCUGUGGAACAGUUAGGAGAACCAAACUCUCCCCUGUUCAUACCAAAGGGAUAAUUAGGAGAACCAAAUUAUCAUAGUUCAUAUUGCUUUUGUUUGUUUGCUUUAAUGGUGAAAUUUUGCGGGGAAGAAAGGUGUCCAUGAGGGUCUUUGAAUUGUAUCUGAUCAUUAUUGUGUUUGGCACUGUGAUCUUCUUGUCUCCAUUUAGAGAUCGGUCUCAUACAGCUAUUUAUGUACAAUGUGUUCAAUAACCCUGGUCUCUGGGUUUAAAAGACAGUUUUAUCAUGCAUGUGAAGAUAUAACAAAAGAAGGUAGAAUAACCAUUACAAAGAUCAUUUUCUAUGAUCAUGGGAAAAUAGUAAUAAAAAUCCGAAAUGAUUAUAUCACAUGAAAGUAAAUGCAAGGGAAGUGCACCUUAGUCUGUACAGAACAUGGAUGAGUUUUGAAUAUAGAUUUUGAACAUUUCAGAGGAAGAUGAUAUUCUUCUACAACACCAAUGAAGGGUCAUGUAAUUCUCCCAGAAAAGGAAGAGAGCUUUAAAAGGGAAAACGAUUAUGAUUGUCAUAGAGUAGAGUCUGAUCAAUAAAUGGACAUUAACAUCCAUGGCUUCAGUAGGAAUUCAUAAGGGUUUCUAUCAAUACAAGAGUUGAGAACUUGCCAAAGGGGAAAAAAAUAAUAGAGACUUUAUGGCAUUGGUUGGGGUUGGAUGGAUGAAUAAUAGU